UUAAUUUCUUUACAUCAGGUGCUCGUACUAUCACACAUCAACUUACUUAAUCAUACAAAUCAAUGUAAUGACAUAAUAUUUUGCAUGCCAUUUAAAGGGGCCAUAAAAAGUUCUUAAAAAGUAAAAUCAAAUGAGACAAUGCCAACACUACAUGUUGCCUAACUCUCCCUAUCAGUCCCGGAGUGUAGAGUUUUGAUCCAUAAUGAUAGUACUUCAACAGGGAAAGAAAAUAAAGUGAAAGUUCAUCAACAUGUUGCAUAACUCUCCUUAUCAUUCCCAGAGUAUAUAGUUUUGAGCCAUAAUGAUAGUCCUUCAACAGGGAAAGAAAAGAAAGUGAAAGUUCAUCAAGGUUCUACACACCACCAACUAUUUAUACAACUAAGAUAUCAGAUAUUUACCUU
This 401-nucleotide long non-coding RNA is filed under the name Nicotiana benthamiana. RNAcentral describes it as "long non-coding RNA (NBEN_LNC008908)". The record is from RNAcentral. Lineage: Eukaryota; Viridiplantae; Streptophyta; Magnoliopsida; Solanales; Solanaceae.